Molecule: ribosomal RNA, 119 nt
Filed under: Pteropus alecto (black flying fox)
Lineage: Eukaryota; Metazoa; Chordata; Mammalia; Chiroptera; Pteropodidae
Source: RNAcentral
AUCUAUGGCCAUGCUACCCUGAACAAGCCCGAUCCCAUCUGAUCUCAGAAGCUAAGCAGGGUCUAGCCUGGUUAGUGCUUGGAUGGGAGACCACCUAGGAAGACCAGGUGCUGUAGGUG